AUGUAUUAAAAAAUUGUCAUGAAAAUAAUAUAUUUCAUCGUUCUUGUUUUAAAAUUAAUACUGAAAUCAGUAUGAAUUCAUACAAUAAUUGUUAUGUGUAUACGAAAAGCAAAUUUUGCACGUCAAAACAUCGAAGAGAACGCGAGCGAUAAAUCAGUCAGCGUCGACUGUGCGAACAGUUGCGAAUGACGCGAAACGGAAAGUUUUCCGCCUCUUGCGUUGAUCAAAGAUCACAACUUUCUUUUAAAAUCCACACUGGUCGUGAAGUGAUUAAAGUUUCUGUUUGAAUUGACUUGGGCCGUGCCGAUUGAUCAUUAAACGCAGAAUAAAACCUGGAGAAUUCUUUCUGCAGCUGAUCGAAGAUUAUGAUGCUACGUUUUCUGGAAUAGAGAUUUUAAAAAUUUCUCAAAAUUUUUAUUACAUUUUUAUAUAUUAAA
Molecule: long non-coding RNA, 437 nt
Organism: Apis florea (little honeybee)
Lineage: Eukaryota; Metazoa; Arthropoda; Insecta; Hymenoptera; Apidae
Source: RefSeq, a predicted model, not a curated record